This 192-nucleotide small RNA is filed under the name Pseudomonas citronellolis. RNAcentral describes it as "RgsA sRNA". It matches the Rfam family "RgsA sRNA". From Rfam's summary of the family: P16 sRNA appears to be conserved across several Pseudomonas species and Azotobacter vinelandii. In these species it is consistently located downstream of a predicted TatD deoxyribonuclease gene. The record is from RNAcentral. Lineage: Bacteria; Pseudomonadati; Pseudomonadota; Gammaproteobacteria; Pseudomonadales; Pseudomonadaceae.
CGCGGCAGUAUUCCAAAUCUGUUUAAAAAACCGCCGGGUGGUUGUGGAAGCUCUGCCAUCUUGGCCAAUACUUCAACUUACUGGUGUGCGGCAUCUCCCCCCAAGUGCCCCGCCAGUGAAGGUACCGAGGAUCGCGUACCUUAUUGUUACACUCCUAAUGGUCUUGACCCGGAUUCAUCCCCCAGAACCCGG